RNAcentral lists this long non-coding RNA (2132 nucleotides) under Lupinus angustifolius (narrow-leaved blue lupine). RNAcentral's name for it is "long non-coding RNA (LANG_LNC000699)". The record is from RNAcentral. Lineage: Eukaryota; Viridiplantae; Streptophyta; Magnoliopsida; Fabales; Fabaceae.
UCGUAUGAUAGGGGUGAUCCAAAUCCACAACAUUAUCAGAUCGAUAGACUGAAAAGGGACAACGUCAAGUCUUCUACAAUGAUGAUAGACCUCUCAUUAGAGUGCAAAUCACUUCACCCCAAUAUAAACAUAUGAAGCCAUAUGACAUGUAUUAUCACUAUACUGUCUCUCACUAAAAAUACACUAAAUAUAGACUUCAGCUUCAGAGUUACUUUUCAAUUACCCCACCCAAGACAGUUCAAAGUCUGCAAUUGCCUGAAUAAGCAAGGCGAGGCAUAUCAUAUAUGAAAACAUUGAAUUGCAUUCACAUGCGACAUGGUUUCUAUAAUUAGAUGUUGAGUGUUCAUACAAGCCUUAAGGUUGUUCAGUGAAAAAAAUUGAACCAGGAAUAUAAUAACGAAGUGCUUCCAUCAUUUUAUUAUCCCUCGUCUUCACAGAUAACUUAAAUGGUCAGGGGGGAGCAUAAGCAACCACCAAACAUAUAGAGUCGCACGUGAAUAAUAAAAGCCCAUUGAAUCGAUCACAUGAUUUUAGUAUAGGCCAAGUUUGGAAAGAGAAAACCGGUUCUCAAUAACUAGCAAAUCAGAUAUUAUUACAUAAAUAAAAAUAAAAUUUUGAAAACAAAAAUAAUAGAUUUAUAAUAUUUAUUAAAAUUUAAUUAGUCUAAGAUAUAGAAUGAGAUAUCGACUAAUUCAUUAGGUACUAGUGAGAUGUACAUUUAGCUAACACAAAAAAAAAAGUCACACUGUUUCAGUUUCAGGAAUUGUUAAUAAACCCUUAAAAUGGAAACUUGAAAGUGGAAAAUGUUACUCCUACUAAUUUAUUUACAUUAAUGGCAAAUGCAUGGCACACAGCUGGGAAAGAAAACUAUAACAAAACAGCCUCUGAUUCUGUUCCCUCAAUGACUCUCCAAUUAAUCUAGUAUUAUAAUUCAAACCUGGAACUUUGAAAUACUUCAAUACUUUCUGGUGCUUUGCCCCUACCUUGACAACUCAAACUUUGGACUUGCAAAUUGCCAUCAUAGUUCUAUUACCAUUUUUCUCAAAAGGGUCCCCCACCCCAAUCUUUAGUAAUUAAGUGAUUAAGUUCUAUAAUUACCAUUCCCAUAGAACAUGCAUGUGGUUGUAGUCUAAUUCAUUGGACUGUAGUAUACAUGCAUACUACUUAUCUUGGGAUUAUAAGUUUCUAAUUCUAAUAAUACGCAUGAAAUCCUGCUUCAGACUUUACCAUUUUUUGUUUUUUAUCUAUCUGCCUUCCUUCUUAGCUUGGUUCCUCAAUAAAACUUAAUAAAACUGAAUUUGGUUAUCAUUGAAAAUUGAAAGGUAUGUGUUAACAAACAACCAUGACCAAAUAUCUUAAUUCAUUAUAUAUUUAUCUUCCUGAUAACGCCGUCAGGGAAAAGACAAAAGCAGAUAAAUAUAUGUGGCUAGAAUAAUAAUAAUAAUAAUAAUAAUAACAAUAAUAAGUCAGUGAGCAAGAGCAAGGAGCAACUAGUUUUUGAAGUUAUCAUAACUGAAAAUGAACAUAAAACAAAGGCAAAUAAACAACCAUGAGAUUAAUGAACAUAUACUACACUAGUUGCAAUGAUCUCAAAUCUUUUUAUUUACCAAAACACAAUGAAGAAUCAUUUUUUCAGUUUAAAAGCUUUGAAAACCUUAUCCUGCGGUAAUAGAAGGCACAUUUGAACCUUGACAACACGAACCUUCUUACAGACCUUAGCCUUAGCCAUACAACUUUCUUGACACGAACUAUAGAGCCUUUGAUUCUCUCAGUGAGACUCUUCUUUCUACUGAAUUGGUAGCUUCUAAGGAAUAGUUGUCUCUUCUCUAUCAUGGUGUAGUUCUGUUCAGGGUAGAAUCCAAAAGACUCAGUUCUAAAAAAUGGGUUCAUUAUCAAACUUCCCAUGACUCACCCUGCUUCUCAAUCAGACCCAAUGAAGAGAGGAAAAUAAGGAAAUAUAUAUAGAACCAAAUAGUUAGGUACUUGUUGAAGUCAGAUUUUUACAAAAUAGAAAGUGUUUCGUGCAAGAUUGAAGACUGAUAUGUGGAAGAGAAGAAGGGUAGAGGAGAAAAGAUGGGGUCUGAAUUGUAGAAAUUCAAGGCACCUUGUGUUUGCUUUACUUAAAGACUAAG